CGUAGGUGACCUGCGGAAGGAUCAUUACCGAGUGAGGGCCCUCUGGGUCCAACCUCCCACCCGUGUCUAUCGUACCUUGUUGCUUCGGCGGGCCCGCCGUUUCGACGGCCGCCGGGGAGGCCUUGCGCCCCCGGGCCCGCGCCCGCCGAAGACCCCAACAUGAACGCUGUUCUGAAAGUAUGCAGUCUGAGUUGAUUAUCGUAAUCAGUUAAAACUUUCAACAACGGAUCUCUUGGUUCCGGCAUCGAUGAAGAACGCAGCGAAAUGCGAUAAGUAAUGUGAAUUGCAGAAUUCAGUGAAUCAUCGAGUCUUUGAACGCACAUUGCGCCCCCUGGUAUUCCGGGGGGCAUGCCUGUCCGAGCGUCAUUGCUGCCCUCAAGCACGGCUUGUGUGUUGGGCCCCCGUCCCCCUCUCCCGGGGGACGGGCCCGAAAGGCAGCGGCGGCACCGCGUCCGGUCCUCGAGCGUAUGGGGCUUUGUCACCUGCUCUGUAGGCCCGGCCGGCGCCAGCCGACACCCAACUUUAUUUUUCUAAGGUUGACCUCGGAUCAGGUAGGGAUACCCGCUGAACUUAAGCAUAUCAUG
Molecule: ribosomal RNA, 584 nt
Filed under: Aspergillus fumigatus
Lineage: Eukaryota; Fungi; Ascomycota; Eurotiomycetes; Eurotiales; Aspergillaceae
Description: eukaryotic LSU rRNA
Rfam family: 5.8S ribosomal RNA (bases 213-366)
Source: RNAcentral